This 47-nucleotide ribosomal RNA is filed under the name Phytophthora lateralis. RNAcentral's name for it is "partial 28S ribosomal RNA". The record is from RNAcentral. Lineage: Eukaryota; Oomycota; Peronosporomycetes; Peronosporales; Peronosporaceae.
UGGACCUGAUAUCAGGCAAGAUUACCCGCUGAACUUAAGCAUAUCAU